GGGCAGGUUCCAGAGCGGUCAAAUGGGACGGGCUGUAAACCCGUUGGCUUCGGCCUUCGGUGGUUCGAAUCCGCCCCUGCCCA
This 83-nucleotide transfer RNA is filed under the name Candidatus Aminicenantota bacterium. RNAcentral describes it as "Candidatus Aminicenantes bacterium tRNA-Tyr". It matches the Rfam family "tRNA". Rfam says of the family: Transfer RNA (tRNA) molecules are approximately 80 nucleotides in length. Their secondary structure includes four short double-helical elements and three loops (D, anti-codon, and T loops). The record is from RNAcentral. RNAcentral also lists the same sequence under 1 other name. Lineage: Bacteria; Candidatus Aminicenantota.